CAUUCUGCCAAAACAAUGGAAUUUACACCUAACAUUUGGAAGUGCUUCUACCCACAAAUUACUCUAGAGAAGGAACCCAGCAGAGUGGACAAAGGCCCCUCCUUGGAAUCUGGAAAAACAUGAUCUUCUCUCUGAUACCUCCUGGCUACAUGGCUGUGGUCAAAUUACUUAACCUCUCACUGCUGCAGGGGAAAAGACACUUGAAGAUCAAGGGGAAAAAACUGACCAAGGAUUGAAGACUGAACAUAUUCUCCUGGAGGGUUGUACUGAUCUCAGAAAAUACAAGAUUGUCGUGUGGAAAACAGUGUAAACUAAAGUACUGCAUUAAUGUGACAGGAUUUUUUUUUUUUUUUUUAAAUAUUUGUCCUUUGUCACGGAACAUUCAGUAAAACACUCUGUACCACUGAUCUGGCCAAAAGGAAAUUAUUUUCAGGACAUCAAUAUCCUUUGGACUGGGCACUGAUGCUAUAAUCCACUAUCCACUCCCCCACCCAUCCUGCCUCUUGAAAAGGAAAUAUAU
RNAcentral lists this long non-coding RNA (520 nucleotides) under Sarcophilus harrisii (Tasmanian devil). RNAcentral's name for it is "lncRNA (ENSSHAG00000027440.1)". Lineage: Eukaryota; Metazoa; Chordata; Mammalia; Dasyuromorphia; Dasyuridae. The record is from RNAcentral.